Molecule: ribosomal RNA, 334 nt
Filed under: uncultured eukaryote
Lineage: Eukaryota
Description: partial 18S ribosomal RNA
Rfam family: Eukaryotic small subunit ribosomal RNA
Source: RNAcentral
CCCUUAGAUGUCCGGGGCCGCACGCGCGCUACACUGAAGGAAUCAGCGUGGCUUUCUCCCUGACCCGAAAGGGUUGGGAAACCCGUUGAAUCUCCUUCGUGAUAGGGAUUGGGGCUCGAAAUUGUUCCCCAUGAACGAGGAAUUCCCAGUAAGCGCGAGUCAUAAGCUCGCGUCGAUUACGUCCCUGCCCUUUGUACACACCGCCCGUCGCUACUACCGAUUGAACGGUUUAGUGAGGGCCUCGGAUUGGUCUCGGCCCGCUCUUUACCGGGCGGCGCCGUUGGUCGAGAAGACGCUCGAACUUGAUCGUUUAGAGGAAGUAAAAGGCGUAACA